GAAUAUUGGUUGCACUGCAUAAUGACGCAUAAGUAGUAGGAACGGCGGGGUUAAACACUUUGUUUAUGAUUUUAAGCGUCUUUAUUGUUCGGCGAGGCUCCGAGUUCUACCGCUCGGCUUUUUUCUCUGCCAGUGGUUUUUGCCACGUCAUUCAUUUUCAUCAAACCGGUGAAAUCUAACUUAUUUUCCGACACGUGAAUUUUGCAUAGUCAAAAAUGAGCGACGUCGAGGAUCGGAAUGGUCAUUCUAAAUCUCGUUCUGCUUCACCUAGCCGUAGUCGUAGUAGAUCAGUAAGUGAACGCAAGUCACGUAGUCGAUCUCCUACUCGAUCUAAAACCCGCUCUAGAUCAGUAACACCUCCUCCUAGCAGAAAUGGAAGUAAAUAUAAAAGCCGUUCAAAACAUUCAUAUUCCAAAUCUCGCUCAAGAUCUCGAUCUUAUUCAGGAGAAAGAAAACGUAGUUAUCGUAGCCAUUCACGUGGAUCAGGAUCUAGACGUGGCAGACAUGAAAAUCCAAAACCAAAUAAGUGCUUAGGAAUUUUUGGCUUAAGUGUUUACACUACUGAACAUCAGUUGUAUGAUAUAUUUUCCAAGUAUGGAUCCAUAGAUAAAAUAUUGAUCAUUAUAGAUGCUAAAAGUGGCCGAUCACGAGGAUUUGGUUUUGCCUAUUUUAAAAAACAUGAAGAUGCUAAAAUAGCAAAAGAAGAAUGUUCUGGAAUGGAAAUUGAUGGUCGUCGAAUUCGUGUAGACUUCUCUAUUACACAACGUCCACAUACUCCUACACCAGGAAUCUACAUGGGCAGACCUACAAUGAGAGAAGAAAGAUCAUCCAGAAGAAGAGGUUAUGAUAGAUACGAUAGAUACGAUAGGGACAGAUAUGACCGAGACAGAUAUGAUAGGUAUGAUAGAGAUAGGGAUUAUGAUGAUUAUUAUGAUGGUGGAUACAGAGGAGGUGGUGGCCGUGGACAUUACAGGGAUAGAAGAUCUCCAUCACCAUAUUACAAGAGCAGAUCGCGUUAUGAAAGAUCACGUUCCCGUUCAUACUCUCCACUUUUUCAGCUUUCAAAGUAUUUAAUCAAGAUUUCCUACAUAUUCAAUUUUUUAAUCAUUUCCUGAAGAACAUAUUUGAAGAAAAGAAAAUAUUUCAAUUUGUCAAGAUAAUAAUAAAUUAAUUGACUUGAAGACUUCUCAAAUUCAUUGUUAGAACUUUUACAUAUAUUUCUUAAACAAACCAAAAACAAAACAAAAAUAAUAUAUAUAAAAGAAGACUCUUCCAUUGCAAAAGUAGAACACUUGAAGACCCAUUAUGACCCACUGAGUAGAUAUUGAUAGACAUUGAUGAAGAUCUUGAAGUUUAGUCAAGAAAAUUAACAGUUCUUGCUACUAAAUACAGAGGUCGUUAUUAAAAGCUAAUGAUGAGCUGAUGGAUUACCACCAUGGAAUAAAGUUAACUUUAUUAUGGAGAACUAAAGAAUACAAUUUUUAAUACCCCAUAUUAUUUCUUUUCUUUUUUUUAUAAAUAUUAAAUUCGUUUUAUAACAAUUAAACUAUGUAAAUUAGACUUGACGUACUGUUAAAGUAUUUUAAUUGAUUUUUUUUUAUUGUAUAGGCAUUUUGUGUUUUUCUUUACUAAUUAUUACAAUGUAUUUGUAUUUUCAUUUGUUCUGCAAAGGUGCGGAAAAAGUAUAAGACAAUUUUUCUUUGAAGACUAGGGAUUACAAUGUAAUUAAGAAGAACUUUUUCAAGGCUGAUGAAGCAAACAAGAUUGAAAAUGCUUAAUUAAAUUUAAUAAUAAUAACAUAAAAAUGGUGUUGCAAUUUUUAGUUUUUCACAUUCUUUAGGUACACAUAAAUACUCCUGCCUACUGUAUUUGGUAAUAUUAAAUAAAAAUAUGUGUGUAAAUAUUUUUAAUUUUUAAUUUGUUUGAUUCAUGUUUGUUUGCCUUACUUGAUUUGUAAAAGGUAAGCAGAUUUAGUGCAUAAUAAAAACUUUUCAACGUCUAA
Molecule: RNA transcript, 2002 nt
Organism: Daktulosphaira vitifoliae (grape phylloxera)
Lineage: Eukaryota; Metazoa; Arthropoda; Insecta; Hemiptera; Phylloxeridae
Gene name: transformer-2 protein homolog beta-like
Exons: 9
Source: RefSeq, a predicted model, not a curated record